Molecule: long non-coding RNA, 1361 nt
Organism: Gavialis gangeticus (Gharial)
Lineage: Eukaryota; Metazoa; Chordata; Crocodylia; Gavialidae
Exons: 3
Source: RefSeq, a predicted model, not a curated record
GUGAGGAAGCUUAAGGAGAGCUGAAUUAUUUGGUAGUGGAUCCAAGGCAAGGAAACCUAAGAGAGAAAACUGGAGAGAGGGCUGUGUUUGAAGGAUUUUCUUGGCUGGGAAAGUUAAGCCUAGGGAAAAGGGCGGUGGGAUUGUGAACUACAGGAAGCAGGCAGUAGAUCGGCAAGGUCACAGAGGUGAUUGAAGAGCAAAGCUUCUCCUCUCUGCAUGAAGUGAUUGAUUGUCCAGGCUGUACAGUGGAGUGGCAUGCUGGUGAUACCCACACGUUCCUUUUCCUAUUCUGUCCAAAUCAGAAAGAAAAGCACAUGAAGCACCCAAAAGCAGGCCCCUUCACUAUGAAACACAUUGAAGGGCCUUUCAAGGUUGCUCAGGAGUUUUCUCAGAAGACCAGUUACAGAAGUCUUGUUCAAACUUUGCAGUCUUCACUUCCUCUGUGCUGAGCAAAGAAGGGAGACAGAGACAAAACCUGGCUGGAAAAGAGUUAUGGAGGAGAGAAGAACAAGAGGCCAUAAAAGGAUAAAAAGACGAGGUCUUGCACAAUAAGAUGGAAAACGUGCACUCCAGGAAAAGCAUCUUAUUGCAGCAUGUAACUAUACUCCACAACAGGACAUCUUAAGUGCUGCUUAUGUAUUGUUGCUACUUCAGAUUAAAACUGUAAUGACACAGGAUAAAUUGUACAUAUAAUUUUGACUACUUUAUCUGCCCUCUGUCCACUUGGCCCAUCUCUUCCAAAACUGCGCCUGAACCUGCCUUUAAAAAUUUUAAAAACUGACUCUUUUCAUUCCCCCAAUGACAUAGGCCAGGCUAAUUAGGAGCAGGGAUAAUGAGAUCCAAGACAGAUCAUAUGCAUCCCCGUAUCGGUGACAUAUUGAAAGUCUAAUGGCUUGCAACUGAUCCCAAUUAGAACGGGAGUCUUUAUUCCGGAGACUCCCAGCUUUCAAAUGCCAAAUUGUACAACACUGUUUUGUAGUCCUCAAAGAUCCUGAGAUAUCAGCCCCAAAAUGCAUCAUUACUGUAGAUAGAAACCCUUGCUCUGGCUAUUUUCAGUAGCUUCUCUAAAAGUUAAGUUAUGCUUAUCCCAUCAGUUUCUGAGUCCAUUACAUGUAUGGUAAAUAAAGUAAGGCCAUAGUCCUGCAGUGGGCUCAAAUCUUGAUGAAACUUUACUUUCUUGUCAAUUCCCAGUUGAUUUGAAAUAAGUUUUGAUGAGCAACAUUUGACCAGCUCUUGACACAGGAGCCCAGCCCAACCUUCUUACAUUGGCUCUGUGCUGCCUGAAAGCAGGAAUUGUCCAUGGCCUUAUGCCUAGAGCUCAAUGAAUACAAACCACUUCGGUUGGUUGGCUGAAUUAACAU